This 427-nucleotide ribosomal RNA is filed under the name uncultured bacterium. RNAcentral's name for it is "partial 16S ribosomal RNA". It matches the Rfam family "Bacterial small subunit ribosomal RNA", at positions 355 to 774 of the family's 1533-position model. RNAcentral also lists the same sequence under 1 other name. The record is from RNAcentral.
UAGGGAAUCUUCCACAAUGGGCGAAAGCCUGAUGGAGCAACGCCGCGUGGGUGAAGAAGGUCUUCGGAUCGUAAAACCCUGUUGUUAGAGAAGAAAGUGCGUGAGAGUAACUGUUCACGUUUCGACGGUAUCUAACCAGAAAGCCACGGCUAACUACGUGCCAGCAGCCGCGGUAAUACGUAGGUGGCAAGCGUUAUCCGGAUUUAUUGGGCGUAAAGGGAACGCAGGCGGUCUUUUAAGUCUGAUGUGAAAGCCUUCGGCUUAACCGGAGUAGUGCAUUGGAAACUGGGAGACUUGAGUGCAGAAGAGGAGAGUGGAACUCCAUGUGUAGCGGUGAAAUGCGUAGAUAUAUGGAAGAACACCAGUGGCGAAAGCGGCUCUCUGGUCUGUAACUGACGCUGAGGUUCGAAAGCGUGGGUAGCAAACA